GAUGAACGCUAGCUACAGGCUUAACACAUGCAAGUCGAGGGGCAGCAUGGUCUUAGCUUGCUAAGGCCGAUGGCGACCGGCGCACGGGUGAGUAACACGUAUCCAACCUGCCGUCUACUCUUGGACAGCCUUCUGAAAGGAAGAUUAAUACAAGAUGGCAUCAUGAGUCCGCAUGUUCACAUGAUUAAAGGUAUUCCGGUAGACGAUGGGGAUGCGUUCCAUUAGAUAGUAGGCGGGGUAACGGCCCACCUAGUCUUCGAUGGAUAGGGGUUCUGAGAGGAAGGUCCCCCACAUUGGAACUGAGACACGGUCCAAACUCCUACGGGAGGCAGCAGUGAGGAAUAUUGGUCAAUGGGCGAGAGCCUGAACCAGCCAAGUAGCGUGAAGGAUGACUGCCCUAUGGGUUGUAAACUUCUUUUAUAAAGGAAUAAAGUCGGGUAUGGAUACCCGUUUGCAUGUACUUUAUGAAUAAGGAUCGGCUAACUCCGUGCCAGCAGCCGCGGUAAUACGGAGGAUCCGAGCGUUAUCCGGAUUUAUUGGGUUUAAAGGGAGUGUAGAUGGAUAUUUAAGUCAGUUGUGAAAGUUUGCGGCUCAACCGUAAAAUUGCAGUUGAUACUGGAUAUCUUGAGUGCAGUUGAGGCAGGCGGAAUUCGUGGUGUAGCGGUGAAAUGCUUAGAUAUCACGAAGAACUCCGAUUGCGAAGGCAGCCUGCUAAGCUGCAACUGACAUUGAGGCUCGAAAGUGUGGGUAUCAA
This 754-nucleotide ribosomal RNA is filed under the name uncultured Bacteroidales bacterium. Its description in RNAcentral is "bacterial SSU rRNA". It matches the Rfam family "Bacterial small subunit ribosomal RNA", at positions 28 to 771 of the family's 1533-position model. The record is from RNAcentral. Lineage: Bacteria; Pseudomonadati; Bacteroidota; Bacteroidia; Bacteroidales.